GACGUAGGGCGCGAGCGUUGUCCGGAUUUAUUGGGCGUAAAGAGCUCGUAGGCGGCUUGUCGCGUCGUCCGUGAAAACUUGGGGCUCAACCCCAAGCCUGCGGUCGAUACGGGCAGGCUAGAGUUCGGUAGGGGAGACUGGAAUUCCUGGUGUAGCGGUGAAAUGCGCAGAUAUCAGGAGGAACACCGGUGGCGAAGGCGGGUCUCUGGGCCGAUACUGACGCUGAGGAGCGAAAGCGUGGGGAGCGAACAGG
RNAcentral lists this ribosomal RNA (253 nucleotides) under uncultured bacterium. RNAcentral describes it as "partial 16S ribosomal RNA". It matches the Rfam family "Bacterial small subunit ribosomal RNA", at positions 524 to 776 of the family's 1533-position model. The record is from RNAcentral.